This 272-nucleotide long non-coding RNA is filed under the name Gossypium raimondii (Peruvian cotton). RNAcentral's name for it is "long non-coding RNA (GRAI_LNC005397)". Lineage: Eukaryota; Viridiplantae; Streptophyta; Magnoliopsida; Malvales; Malvaceae. The record is from RNAcentral.
AGAUGUUGGGUAAUGUAAUUAGGUAAUGGGUUAAUAAUCAAGUUUGUGAUAUUGGGGCUUAGAGGUCUGAUUAAUUGGGCUUACUGUUGUAAUAAACUGGACAUUUAUUUAUUUUAUAUAUAUAUUUUUUUUUUUUUUGGUUUUAAUACUUGGGUUCGGGCCGGGCAAAAUUUGGGUAUUACAACUUGAUCUUAGAAAACUUCUUUGGCAAGCUCCUUGAGUUGAUUGGCAUUGACAACUUCAUUGAUUGUUGGUUGAGGAUGUUUGACAAC